RNAcentral lists this non-coding RNA (29 nucleotides) under Mus musculus (house mouse). The record is from RNAcentral. Lineage: Eukaryota; Metazoa; Chordata; Mammalia; Rodentia; Muridae.
GNGAAAACUAGUGGGUAAAGUGCCAUGGG